This 1676-nucleotide long non-coding RNA is filed under the name Homo sapiens (human). RNAcentral describes it as "novel transcript". The record is from RNAcentral. Lineage: Eukaryota; Metazoa; Chordata; Mammalia; Primates; Hominidae.
ACCUUGUCUCCAGCUGAGGCUGAGCGAGCACGCCUUUGUUUAGGGCCCCUUGUCUCGGCCUGUGUCAGAGCUUGCAGGGGCGUUGGGCCUCUCUCUGCAGGGAGGACUGGUUUUAGAGGACUCCCGCUUCCCCCAGUUGUAUCAGUUCAGGUGUAAACCCGAUAUGCAAUAGGAUCCGGCGUGGUGUCCACACUCAUUAGACACAUGGCAUCGUUUCCAAAGAUACAGGCCCCCGCACUUCAGCUUGAUGCCAGAGGGCUUACACGUAAACUCUGCUUGACUUGGAAAUCAAAGAGAGGUGAGAAGAGUUCAGAUUUUCUCCUGCUGAGGUAGGAGGCUCGCCAAGAGACAAGACUGGACUCAUAAGGUCUGCAACUGGCUUUAUCUAGUUAAUAGCAGCCUUUGACAUCACAAAACAUGCUAUUUCCUUGUGUUCAUGUCUUUAAGAGGAGCCACGGUGAAAGCAAACAUUAAAGAUUUUAAUCUAACAAAAAUGUGGAGUGAAAGUAAGACAUUUUACACCUGCUCUCUGCACUACUAUUUCAGGAGGAGGUCGGUCGCUGAUGUUGAAACUGUUAUUCAUAAAUGUUUUCCAUCUGUGUUUGUUUCUGAUUUCUCAUCUGCAUCCGCAGUUAUGCAAUGUCCUCCAAUGUUUGUCUCUUCUUCCUGAAAUACGGUCUAUUUCACAUUGCACUGCCCAUUUUCACAAGGCAUCACUGGACUAGGGAGUCCUCAGAGAAAGCCAGGUAUGGUUCAGCUGUUUCCUUUCCAGUGUAUAUGACACUUGGGAAAAAGACAGCUUGAGGGUAAAUUUGCCUCAUCGUUAGAGAUACCUUAUUAAUAUUAAGUCUGCAAAACAAGUCCUCUCUUUAAUUCAACACUUCCAAAAUGAACAAAGAGUUACAAUGCCCUGCAGUAAAAGGCGACUUAAUUGCAUUUGGCCAAUAUUUAUUUCGUGCACACUGUGUAAGACGCAUUGAACUAGAGAGUAUAAAAAUUGGUAAAUUACCAUCUCUCAACUAAAUAAUCUUAUGGUCUCAUAACAGAAAUAGGUUACAAUGAAUGUACAAAUAACAAUUUAAAUAAAGAUAAUAAUGAGAUUUUUAAAUGAUUAAAGUUAUUCUCCAAGAACACUUUAAACACAGUGCUUAAAUUGUUUCUAUUUAUUGAGCUUCUACUACAAUGAAGACUAUAUGGUAAUUCUAGGAUUAGAGACGCAUGAGCAACACACACACACACACACACACACACACACACACACCCUGCCCCCAACUCACAAACAGUAGAAAGCAUGUGACAUUAAAUAAUUGCAUCAUUUAAUUCUUGCAGCAACCGUGGUAUUAUAAUCCCCCAUUACACAUGAGAGCACUCAGUGUAACCAUAGGGAGUUGAUCUGCUGCCAGCCACACUGAAGAGGCAGGGCAUACUUCAGGUAUCAGGGGUUGAGAUUUGGCUAUGAGAGCUAGAAUGUCUGGUUCCAACUCCAGUUCCACAACAUGAAAGCUGCGUGACACUGAGCAAGUCACUCAAUAACUCUGUCUGAGUUUCCCCGCGCUGUAAAGGUUUGUUUUGAGAAGUGAAUUAAUCCUCAUCUUGAUCUACCUAGGGAGAUCUAGUAUACAAGAAAUUCCUCUGUCAUCUUUACUUUUUUUUAAUCAAAAAGUUAAACAACUUCA